GACGUAGGGCGCGAGCGUUGUCCGGAUUUAUUGGGCGUAAAGAGCUCGUAGGCGGCUUGUCGCGUCGAUCGUGAAAACUCACAGCUCAACUGUGAGCCUGCGGUCGAUACGGGCAGGCUAGAGUUCGGUAGGGGAGACUGGAAUUCCUGGUGUAGCGGUGAAAUGCGCAGAUAUCAGGAGGAACACCGGUGGCGAAGGCGGGUCUCUGGGCCGAUACUGACGCUGAGGAGCGAAAGCGUGGGGAGCGAACAGG
Molecule: ribosomal RNA, 253 nt
Filed under: uncultured bacterium
Lineage: Bacteria
Description: partial 16S ribosomal RNA
Rfam family: Bacterial small subunit ribosomal RNA
Source: RNAcentral